UGCAGGGACUACUAAUUAACUUAGUCUGCAUGUUCCUGAAACUCUAAGCUAUUUGUUACCUCUUUGUUUGUGUGAAUUAGACAUUAAUUUGUUCUGUCUAGCAUCAUCAAGCUGUACUCUCAAAGUCCUCUACAUUUUUAUAUUGUUGUUUUCUCAUUCUUAGAGGACAGGCCUCGGAGCAAUGGUAAGAUUGCUCCAUUAUGACCUGAGUGUCAUGGGUUUGAAAUACGGAAACAGUCUCUCCACAUAUGAGCUUAACGUUGCACAUAUCUGACCCUCUCCAUAUCCUGUGGUGGCAGGAGCCUUGCAUCCUGAGAUUGUUUUUUUUUUAUUUUUCUUUGUUUUUUCUCUCUUGGAAAUGCUCUAUAAAUCUCCUAUUCAUCUUCUGAUUUCACUGUAUAAACACAUUUACAAUGAGCAUGUUUUGAAUGUUUACCAUCACAAAAAUUGUCUGCAACUCUUGACAAGUAGGAAGUACUGUUCUGAGUAUUCACCUUUAAGCAGGUGCAAGUUUUGUUCUGUAAUAGAAUCUGAGCUCGACUGCAAAAAUUAAGAUUGCAUAAACCUGCUGAUAGUCUUGAUUUUUGUUGUCUACAAAAUGCAAUAAAUAGUUUUAUGCACUUCAGUAAUAGUAAUAGUAA
Molecule: long non-coding RNA, 641 nt
Filed under: Phoenix dactylifera (date palm)
Lineage: Eukaryota; Viridiplantae; Streptophyta; Magnoliopsida; Arecales; Arecaceae
Description: long non-coding RNA (PDAC_LNC020129)
Source: RNAcentral